GAACGAUACUUUCCAGCUUGCUUGGAAGGAAAGUGCGGCACGGGUGCGUAACGCGUAUGCAACCUACCUUAAUCAGGGGGAUAGCCCGAAGAAAUUCGGAUUAACACCGCAUAAAAACACAGGAUAGCAUUAUCCAAUGUUCAAAUAUUUAUAGGAUUAAGAUGGGCAUGCGUGUCAUUAGCUAGUUGGCGGGGUAACGGCCCACCAAGGCGACGAUGACUAGGGGAUCUGAGAGGAUGACCCCCCACACUGGUACUGAGACACGGACCAGACUCCUACGGGAGGCAGCAGUAAGGAAUAUUGGUCAAUGGAGGCAACUCUGAACCAGCCAUGCCGCGUGCAGGAAGACAGCCCUCUGGGUCGUAAACUGCUUUUAUUCGGGAAUAAACCUACUUACGUGUAAGUAGCUGAAUGUACCGAAGGAAUAAGGAUCGGCUAACUCCGUGCCAGCAGCCGCGGUAAUACGGAGGAUCCAAGCGUUAUCCGGAUUUAUUGGGUUUAAAGGGUGCGUAGGCGGCUUAUUAAGUCAGGGGUGAAAGACGGUGGCUCAACCAUCGCAGUGCCCUUGAUACUGAUGAGCUUGAAUACACUAGAGGUAGGCGGAAUGUGACAAGUAGCGGUGAAAUGCAUAGAUAUGUCACAGAACACCGAUUGCGAAGGCAGCUUACUAUGGUGUGAUUGACGCUGAGGCACGAAAGCGUGGGGAUCAAACAGGAUUAGAUACCCUGGUAGUCCACGCCCUAAACGAUGAAUACUCGCUGUUAGCGAUACACAGUUAGCGGCUAAGCGAAAGCGUUAAGUAUUCCACCUGGGGAGUACGGUCGCAAGAUUGAAACUCAAAGGAAUUGACGGGGGCCCGCACAAGCGGAGGAGCAUGUGGUUUAAUUCGAUGAUACGCGAGGAACCUUACCCGGGCUUGAAAGUUAGUGAAUCAUUUAGAGAUAGAUGAGUGAGCAAUCACACGAAACUAGGUGCUGCAUGGCUGUCGUCAGCUCGUGCCGUGAGGUGUUGGGUUAAGUCCCGCAACGAGCGCAACCCCUAUGUUUAGUUGCCAGCACGUUAAGGUGGGGACUCUAAACAGACUGCCUGUGCAAACAGAGAGGAAGGAGGGGACGACGUCAAGUCAUCAUGGCCCUUACGUCCGGGGCUACACACGUGCUACAAUGGAUGGUACAGAGGGCAGCUAGCUGGUAACAGUAUGCGAAUCUCACAAAGCCAUUCACAGUUCGGAUAGAGGUCUGCAACUCGACCUCUUGAAGUUGGAUUCGCUAGUAAU
RNAcentral lists this ribosomal RNA (1276 nucleotides) under uncultured Bacteroidota bacterium. RNAcentral describes it as "bacterial SSU rRNA". It matches the Rfam family "Bacterial small subunit ribosomal RNA", at positions 64 to 1342 of the family's 1533-position model. The record is from RNAcentral. Lineage: Bacteria; Pseudomonadati; Bacteroidota.